Pelobates cultripes (western spadefoot toad) is the source of this 222-nucleotide non-coding RNA. The record is from the annotation of a GenBank genome assembly. Lineage: Eukaryota; Metazoa; Chordata; Amphibia; Anura; Pelobatidae.
CUUCUAUGGGCUUACGUGUAGUUUCAUAUAUGGUUGCCCAUGGAUAAAACUAAUCAUAUCUAUACAUGUGCAUAAUGUUUCACAAGCCCUUUCAUAGAAAACCUAGUAACAGACGUGCAGUGGAGAUGUGCAUUUUGUUUUGUUCUGAUUCCAAUUUUGUAUGAAUUCAGACUAAAUAAUCAAUUCGGAAGCAUCCCAAAUUCUUUAGAAGAUUAAACAAAC